UAUGAACCUGAGAGUUUGAUCCUGGCUCAGAGCGAACGCUGGCGGAAUGCUUAACACAUGCAAGUCGCACGGGGGCUUCGGCUCGAGUGGCGGACGGGUGAGUAACGCGUAGGAACGUGUCUUGGGGUGGGGGAUAACGCUGGGAAACUGGCGCUAAUACCGCAUAUGGGCUGAGGCCCAAAGCCUUCGGGUGCCUUGAGAGCGGCCUGCGUCCGAUUAGCUAGUUGGUGGGGUAAAGGCUUACCAAGGCGACGAUCGGUAGCUGGUCUGAGAGGACGAUCAGCCACACUGGGACUGAGACACGGCCCAGACUCCUACGGGAGGCAGCAGUGGGGAAUAUUGGACAAUGGGCGGAAGCCUGAUCCAGCAAUUCCGCGUGGGUGAAGAAGGUCUUCGGAUUGUAAAGCCCUUUCGGCGGGGACGAUGAUGACGGUACCCGCAGAAG
RNAcentral lists this ribosomal RNA (445 nucleotides) under uncultured Craurococcus sp. RNAcentral's name for it is "SSU rRNA". It matches the Rfam family "Bacterial small subunit ribosomal RNA", at positions 1 to 487 of the family's 1533-position model. Lineage: Bacteria; Pseudomonadati; Pseudomonadota; Alphaproteobacteria; Acetobacterales; Acetobacteraceae. The record is from RNAcentral.